This is a long non-coding RNA of Tribolium madens (black flour beetle), 268 nucleotides long. RefSeq lists it as uncharacterized. Lineage: Eukaryota; Metazoa; Arthropoda; Insecta; Coleoptera; Tenebrionidae. The transcript is spliced from 2 exons. The record is from RefSeq and is a predicted model, not a curated record.
CGGUUUCACAAAACACAUUAGUGGGUGUCACAUCGACAAGUUGAAAAAGUAAAAAUGUUGCGACAUAUUUGUACAUCCGUGGUGGCUGGGUUCUCUUUUAUUCUAGUGCAGAUUGUCGCACAGUUUCCUUCAAACGAGAGUUAUAACUACAUGGACGAUGUUAAUAUUACUGGGCCUGUAGUUUUUCCUCCUGCUUAUUACUUUAACUGAAAAUAUGUAGAAACUGUGAAGUAAUAAAACAAACAAAAAUUCUGAUAUUUGAAGCCUA